RNAcentral lists this unclassified non-coding RNA (354 nucleotides) under Ixodes scapularis (black-legged tick). RNAcentral's name for it is "uncharacterized LOC120847889, transcript variant X4". The record is from RNAcentral. Lineage: Eukaryota; Metazoa; Arthropoda; Arachnida; Ixodida; Ixodidae.
UUGGCGUGUUCAGACGUGGUUGGGCCUCUGUUUCGGCCAGUUUCGAGGCGAGAAGUGCAGCGUCUGUGUUUGUUACACGUGUAAUCAUAGCAUUCCCCUGGUUGCGGUGGCUUCGCGGUGCAAUGGCAAAUUCCAAACCUAAAAAGAGGGGUCUGUGGCUGAAGGCGACAUGGCAAAGGGAGGAGAGGAGGAACGUCCUGCGCAAGUGGCAUGCCCCCUACCACCGAAUGGCUGUAGAGGGACAAGCAGCAGCAAGUGCGCACCAGUCGUCCGCACUGACUUCGCUAGUGCUUCAGCUCGUCGGUGUGCAGAAUCUCCAUCCGCCAGCCGAAUAAAGUGGGUCUCUAUGCUCCA